AAAAAGGCAAACCGUGGGUUCCCGUGCCAACGUUUGACUGUCCGUCUUAUAUGAAAUUUUUUUAUAAUUAGUAUUUUCAUUGUUGUUAGAUGAUAAAACAUGAUUAACACUUUAUGCGUGACUUAUCUUUUUAAUUUUUUUAUAAUUUUUUAAAUAAGACGGACGGUCAAACGUUGGACACGGAAAUCAGGGUUUGUCUUUUU
RNAcentral lists this microRNA precursor (203 nucleotides) under Oryza nivara. Its description in RNAcentral is "MIR812 microRNA precursor family". It matches the Rfam family "MIR812 microRNA precursor family". Lineage: Eukaryota; Viridiplantae; Streptophyta; Magnoliopsida; Poales; Poaceae. The record is from Rfam by way of RNAcentral.